Molecule: ribosomal RNA, 390 nt
Filed under: uncultured bacterium
Lineage: Bacteria
Description: bacterial SSU rRNA
Rfam family: Bacterial small subunit ribosomal RNA
Source: RNAcentral
UAGGGCAUAGCCCGGUGAAAAUCGGAUUAAUACCCUAUGUUCUUCGCAGCAAGACAUCUAACGUGAAGCAAAAGGUUUACCGCGUAAAGGGAUGGGGAUGCGUCUGAUUAGGUAGUAGGCGGGGUAACGGCCCACCUAGCCUUCGAUCAGUAGGGGUUCUGAGAGGAAGGUCCCCCACAUUGGAACUGAGACACGGUCCAAACUCCUACGGGAGGCAGCAGUGAGGAAUAUUGGUCAAUGGGCGAGAGCCUGAACCAGCCAAGUAGCGUGCAGGAUGACCGGCCCUAUGGGUUGUAAACUGUCUUUUAUAGUGGGGAUAAAGUUCACCACGUGUGGUGUUUUGCAGGUACCAUAUGAAUAAGGACCGGCUAAUUCCGUGCCAGCAGCGGC